ACUCCUACGGGAGGCAGCAGUGGGGAAUAUUGCACAAUGGGCGCAAGCCUGAUGCAGCCAUGCCGCGUGUGUGAAGAAGGCCUUCGGGAUUGUAAAAGCACUUUCAGUCGUGAGGAAGGUAGUGUAGUUAACACCUGCACNAUUUGACGUUACCUACAGAAGAAGCACCGGCUAACUCCGUGCCAGCAGCCGCGGUAAUACGGAGGGUGCGAGCGUUAAUCGGAAUUACUGGGCGUAAAGCGCAUGCAGGCGGCCUGUUAAGUCAGAUGUGAAAGCCCGGGGCUUAACCUCGGAA
Molecule: ribosomal RNA, 295 nt
Filed under: uncultured bacterium
Lineage: Bacteria
Description: partial 16S ribosomal RNA
Rfam family: Bacterial small subunit ribosomal RNA
Source: RNAcentral